RNAcentral lists this long non-coding RNA (745 nucleotides) under Coturnix japonica (Japanese quail). RNAcentral describes it as "lncRNA (ENSCJPG00005004826.1)". Lineage: Eukaryota; Metazoa; Chordata; Aves; Galliformes; Phasianidae. The record is from RNAcentral.
GAUCCCAGAGGUCUUCUCCAACCACAAUGAUUCUAUGGUUCUGUGGUUCUGUGAUGCUCUGCCCGUGUCACAGGCACCCCCGGCGACAGCCCUGUGGGUGCUUCCCAGUGCGUGCGGACAGGCAGAGCUGCUGGCCUCAACACAGCUGUGUCCCUGAGUCACUUAUGGGAUGAAGCCAGGAGAAAAUACAGUGGCACACAGACCAAUAUAGCUUGGAAUGUCACGAUAGGAGAGUUAACAGUGCUCAGCUCUCGGACCUGCUGGCUGGAGAUUGGGACAUGCGCUGGUUUCCAGAUCCACCAAGCAAGGCUGAGAGAAACACCCAAUAAACAUGGCACAGGGAGCUUGGGUUUGUGCAGUGACACAGGCAGAGUGCUGCUCAAGAGCCCUCCAGUCUCAUCUCAUUAGAUAGUAUCAACCAUUUAGAGCGUCACGUAACUUUUGAUCCCCUGUUCUUUUAACAUAAAUGAAUUAAAACAUUACUGUCUGACGGCAAAUAUUUCCCCUGCCUGUACUUCCACAGCUUCUCUUUGCAGUGAGGAAGAACAGUGCGCAACAGGCUUAGAAAAAGCCAGCUCUGGCUGUUAUUAAUGCAGGACCUGGCAGCCCUGCUCUCAAGACCAGCUCCUGCGAAUCUUUCUCCCCCUUUUCAGCUCUUUUCUUCAGAACCAUGUGACUGUGAACAAAGGGCUUCAAGGGUCUGGUGAGCUGUAAGUAAGUUAUUUGCAAGCUGUAUAAAAGUAGU